Molecule: ribosomal RNA, 470 nt
Filed under: uncultured bacterium
Lineage: Bacteria
Description: bacterial SSU rRNA
Rfam family: Bacterial small subunit ribosomal RNA
Source: RNAcentral
AGAGUUUGAUCAUGGCUCAGAACGAACGCUGGCGGCAGGCCUAAUACAUGCAAGUCGAACGCACCUUCGGGUGAGUGGCAGACGGGUGAGUAACGCGUGGGAACCUUCCCAAUGGUACGGAAUAACUCCGGGAAACCGGUGCUAAUACCGUAUAAGCCCCUCGGGGGAAAGAUUUAUCGCCAUUGGAUGGGCCCGCGUCGGAUUAGCUAGUUGGUAAGGUAAUGGCUUACCAAGGCUACGAUCCGUAGCUGGUCUGAGAGGAUGAUCAGCCACACUGGGACUGAGACACGGCCCAGACUCCUACGGGAGGCAGCAGUAGGGAAUCUUGGACAAUGGGCGAAAGCCUGAUCCAGCAAUGCCGCGUGAGUGAUGAAGGCCUUAGGGUUGUAAAGCUCUUUUGCCCGGGAUGAUAAUGACAGUACCGGGAGAAUAAGCUCCGGCUAACUCCGUGCCAGCCGCCGCGGUAAUAC